UCUUAAGUAGUUUAAUUAAAAUAAUGAUUUGUGGUAUCAUUGAUGUAAUAUAUUACCUUAGGUA
Molecule: transfer RNA, 64 nt
Filed under: Neurobasis chinensis
Lineage: Eukaryota; Metazoa; Arthropoda; Insecta; Odonata; Calopterygidae
Description: tRNA-His
Source: RNAcentral